This 76-nucleotide transfer RNA is filed under the name Methanobrevibacter sp. Its description in RNAcentral is "tRNA-Thr". It matches the Rfam family "tRNA". Rfam says of the family: Transfer RNA (tRNA) molecules are approximately 80 nucleotides in length. Their secondary structure includes four short double-helical elements and three loops (D, anti-codon, and T loops). Further hydrogen bonds mediate the characteristic L-shaped molecular structure. tRNAs have two regions of fundamental functional importance: the anti-codon, which is responsible for specific mRNA codon recognition, and the 3' end, to which the tRNAs corresponding amino acid is attached (by aminoacyl-tRNA synthetases). tRNAs cope with the degeneracy of the genetic code in two manners: having more than one tRNA (with a specific anti-codon) for a particular amino acid; and 'wobble' base-pairing, i.e. permitting non-standard base-pairing at the 3rd anti-codon position. The record is from RNAcentral. Lineage: Archaea; Methanobacteriati; Methanobacteriota; Methanobacteria; Methanobacteriales; Methanobacteriaceae.
GCUGGUGUAGCUCAAUAGGCAGAGCAGCCGCCUUGUAAGCGGCAGGUUGGGGGUUCAAGUCCCUUCGCCAGCUCCA